Molecule: long non-coding RNA, 245 nt
Filed under: Zostera marina
Lineage: Eukaryota; Viridiplantae; Streptophyta; Magnoliopsida; Alismatales; Zosteraceae
Description: long non-coding RNA (ZMAR_LNC005212)
Source: RNAcentral
CUUUCAAAUAUAAACUACAUGUAUUGUUCAAACAUACACCACAUGCCACUUUUCCUUUAAUUGGUACUCCAUCCAGAUAAGUUUCCAUAUGCUGGAUAGUCAUUGAUUGUCCAUAGCAAAGCCGCUCGCAUUACAAAAGUUUCUUUCUUUACUGAGUCAUAAGUUUGAACACCAUCAUUCCACAAUAACUUUAACUCGUCUAUUAAUGGUUCUAAAUAGACAUCAAUAUCAUUGCCUGGUUCUUC